Ictalurus punctatus (channel catfish) is the source of this 1278-nucleotide long non-coding RNA. NCBI's taxonomy places the organism in Eukaryota, Metazoa, Chordata, Actinopteri, Siluriformes, Ictaluridae. The record is from Ensembl.
GGUUGUUAGCGCAUGCGCGGUAAAGAGCGUGCCGGCACCCACCACCCUGUCAGUCCCCAAGACUUAUUUUUUUUAUGAAUGAGAAUGGGCGGAGCUUCUCUUUCGCAAACAAUCUGCUUUUGUAGCCAACAGGGGGCGCGUUUAUAUUUAUAUAUAUGUUCUUCCUCCAUACUGAAGCCAAAACGCAGAAAGCGACGAAGAGGAAUCCAGAUGUUGCUGGGAACUUAUUUAGUUUAAUCAGACACAGAGGGUGUUUCCGGUUUCCGUGUUUACGCGUCCUGGGAUCUAAAGACACAGGAGCACGAGGCAGUGCUAAUCUGAUAUUAGCUUAGCAAAGACGAGCGGCUAGAUCAGGAGAAUUUUUAGGUGUCGCCAGAAAAAAAACACACAACAGCGGCUGACUGUAUAAUAAAAGCCGCUCGUGAGUUGAUGCAAAGGGUUUCCGUGUGUGUGUGUGUGUGUGUGAGAGAGAGUGAGUGAGUGAGAGAGAGAGAGAGAGCGAGAGCGAGCGCGCGCAUGCAAGGCACAGAGGCUCGCGUCUCCACUCCACCGUCACGCAACUUGGACAAAAUGCCAAGUUUGCUGUUAGUCCUGGAGCUCGCGCUGAGCGUGUGUUAAAUGUCUACACUUUUAAACGUGCUGCAGUUUUCCUCGGCUGAUGGUCGCUGACCACGACACCAGUCUAUAAUCCGCCUUUUCGCUUGUAAUUCCUCGACUGAUUAGAUACAGGAAGGUGUGUUUUUAUUGCUGGAAAGGGACCUGAAGGAUGGCUGCCACUUUAUCAGCAGAGGAAGAGCAGACUCACACUCACAGUACAGACUCUGCUGAACAUACCAAAGCUGAUGGGAUGUAUGAAGAGUUUAAAAAUAUCCCAGAUAUAUCCUUUUUCUGAUGGAUAUAACAAUACACUAAGCUAACGAUAAAGCACCGAUCCUCCUCGUCCUCCUCUGUAGUGCCCUUGUGUAGGGAGUAUUGAGCUGUUGGGGAUUCAGCCUCAGUUUCACACUGUUUAGGUCACAGAAGUGGUUUUGUUCAACCGGGGUGUACAAUGUAAAGAUUUCUUCUCCCCCUUGAGAAGUAUUGAAAUUACGAUAUUAAUAAUCCUGUGAUAAAAGUGGAAGCAUGUUCCUGUGGCAUUCUCAGUGAACGGGCAGUGCUGUAGCCUACUACACAGGGCCUGCAACAGGAAACGGCCCUUAUAUAAGCUGCCUGUUAUUUAUUUACACUGUUUCAGUUUAGUAGCUUAAUGUACAACACUGACUUUGUCAAGCUUCGUGC